AUGACAACUCUGCGCAGUGGAUCACUCGACUCACGGGUCGAUGAAGAACGUAGCUUGCUGCGAUAAUCGGUGUGAAUUGCAGGACACAUUGAACACCGAACUUUCGAACGCGCAUAGCGGCCUCCGGGACUGGAGGCCUCGCCUGUUUGAGGGUCGUAUGAAGCCCAGACUCUAAAGAGUCAAUUGGCCGCAUCGGAUGCGAACCCGUCGGCUCAAGUGCGAAAGGAAUUCUCCCGAGCCGUGGGAGCAGUCUCGAGUGGCCGGUGGCCGGGGGAGCCUUUCCCCCGCAGGGCCACUCUCCGGUUCGUCCGGCUGCUGGCUUGAGGCUUUCCCCAAGAAUCGGGAGGAGGUACCUUAAAGACUUUGAAUUUUCUUGAAACAACCUCAGAUAGACGAGACUACCCGCUGAAUUUAAGCAUAUUAAUAAGCGGAGGAAAAGAAAACAAUAGCGAUUCCCCUAGUAGCGGCGAGCGAACAGGGAGAAGCCCAGCUCCAAAUCCUUGCCUCGAGCAGGGAAAUGUGGCGUUUGGGCGAGUCGGGAGUGUGGAUCUAGAGUGCGCGGGAAGUUCCCGCGAUCAGGGCAUUUUCCUGAGAGGGUGUGAGGCCCGUUCUCGCGCUCCGUGGUUCCCUCUUGGUUCGCCCGCGAGUCGGGUUGCUUGGGAGUGCAGUUUUAAGACGGAUGGUAAAUUCCACCCAAGGCUAAAUACGACCGUGAGACCGACAGCAAACAAGUACCGUGAUAGAAAAUUGAAAAGAACUUUGAAGAGAGUUCAAUAGAACGUGAAACUGCUCAGAAGGAAAUGGGUGGGCCCUCGAAGUCCAGUGUCGGGGGCGUUUUGGCCCGGUGUCGUCUGCUUCCGCCGAAGCGAGCGAAGGAGCGCCCCUCACGUGGGGGCGCCGUCCUCGCGCCCAGGAGGCGGUUCAGCCCGGGUGCACUCGUCCCCUUCCAGAGGACGCCGCACCCCGUUCGUUUUUGUGGGCCGUGAGGGCGGAUACUCGUAUGUGGACUCCGAACUUUUUUGGAUGUUCCGAUCUCUUCCGCCCGGGUCCGCAGCGGACGGUGGCUUCCGACUCGUCGCCUCCUAAUUAUGUACUCUUGGUGGUGCCGGUGGGUUCUCGGGUAGCCGUGCGCACGCUCUCCGGGCGUGGCCGGUGGCCCUCCUCGCCGGCGCCGCUUUUAUUUUUUCCCUUUGGAGGCCGACGGUGUUGCGGCGCAGUAGGUCGGUGCCCCACCCGACCCGUCUUAAAACACGGACCAAGGAGUCUAACAUGUGUGCGAGUCACUGGGUCUCGAAGAACCCACGGGCGCAAACAAAUUGAUUCUUUCUUCGUAGUCGGGAUCCCCCGCAAAUAAGCGAGGGGCGCACCGACGGCCUGCCACACUCCUAGGAGUGGAGGCGGAUCCUGAGCACACACGUUGGGACCCGAAAGAUGGUGAACUAUGCCUAGACAGGACGAAGACAGGGGAAACCCUGUUGGAAGUCCGAAGCGGUUCUGACGUGCAAAUCGAUCGUCUGAUCCGCGUGUAGGGGCGAAAGACUAAUCAAACCAUCUAGUAGCUGGUUCCCUCAGGAUAGCUGGCGCUCGAUCGAAAUUCAGUCACGGUCGGUAAAGCGAAUGAUUAGAGGCCUUGGGGCCGAAACGACCUCAACCUAUUCUCAUACUUUCAAUGGUCGUAGAGUCCUUUCUCGAUCGAAGGUUGGACGGUGGAUGAGAGUGCCUAGUGGGCCACUUUUGGUAAGCAGAACUGGCGCUGUGGAAUGAACCAAACGCCGGGUUAAGGCGCCCGAUGCAGAGACGCUCAUGAGACCCCAUAAAAGGUGUUGGUUGCUCUAGACAGCAGG
Nephila pilipes (giant wood spider) is the source of this 1844-nucleotide non-coding RNA. The record is from the annotation of a GenBank genome assembly. Lineage: Eukaryota; Metazoa; Arthropoda; Arachnida; Araneae; Nephilidae.